Molecule: long non-coding RNA, 306 nt
Organism: Saccostrea cuccullata (small rock oyster)
Lineage: Eukaryota; Metazoa; Mollusca; Bivalvia; Ostreida; Ostreidae
Exons: 3
Source: RefSeq, a predicted model, not a curated record
AGCACUACAACAAACAACAAGGAAAACAGGUUUAGAAUGUGUUGAAGAUACUUGGCAAGCUAGAAACUGCUUUAAAGUCGACGAUUCAGCUUACUCCUUCUGUCUUUUAAAAGAUAGAACAAGAGAUAUUCAGUCUUAUGCUACUACUCUGAGAUCAACCGUUGGAGAUCUUUUCUGUGGUGUUUGCUGUUCUGUCAUAGAAAAAGAAAGAGACCGCUGUAAAAAGGUGUUUUGCUCAGAUGAUCUUACUUGCUGAUGUGUUGUUUAAUGGUCACAAAUGACAAUAAAAAUAAUCUACUAUGUAUA